This 735-nucleotide ribosomal RNA is filed under the name Triticum aestivum (bread wheat). RNAcentral describes it as "partial small subunit ribosomal RNA". Lineage: Eukaryota; Viridiplantae; Streptophyta; Magnoliopsida; Poales; Poaceae. The record is from RNAcentral.
AUCAAAAUUGCAGCAAUAGCAGGAGGUUUAUAGUGGCCGUUGGAUGUGUUUGGCAUGGUCACUGCACACGAUGUCGCGGACGGCCGCAGGCAUAAUAUUAUCUAUACUCGUACAAGAAAUAAUUGUCAAACCAUCACGGAGGAGCAUCCCUAUCUUACACUCACCGGCCCUACCCGUGCCAUACGGACUUGUUACAAUCCCGGGAGCAUCGAGAUCAUGCUCAAAGUUACGGGCGCUACUGAAAGUCAAGACAGAGACUUAAGCUUUCUAACCUAACUUUUAAAAGAAAGAAUGUAUUGUUCUUUUCAUAAAGAUUACACUAGCAGGCGUAGCACACUCCAGUGUAGAUUCCACCACAUGAACAACUUUCUAGAGGCGACAAUCAGUGUGCAACUCAUUGGUGGGUCAUCAUUGCCACCUGAUGGUUUUCGAGAUGUGAUCACAGCUAGUACUGCCAGCAUAUAUGACGAGGAAGUUGUGUUGCAUGCUUUCUGAGAUGGUGAAUUGCAUGUUGUUGAUGAUGACACAAUUACUCUUUCACGACGUGUUGUCUCUGUCAAAUUGGAUGAUCAAGAACUCAAGGUCUCUAUGGUGUUACAAAGUGAAGAGGGUGAUCAAGUUGCGACAAGAGAUGACAUAGUUUUCAAGCCAAAGUAUGUCGGUAGAAGUUUAGGCAUUCUUAAUGCUGCAUGUAAGAUGCAAAUCAUGAUUGCUUGGUCUGGAUUCUCGUAUUAA